CAGAGGAAGUCCUGCACUGUACAUUAGAAAGCAGAGCAAUGUUCAUUUCAGCUCUGUUUGGAAUCAUAACAUUGAAGAUAUCCCAAAUGCAAAUCCUAAAGAAAGCAGAUAAAUAUUGCUAUGCUUUGACUGACUAUAGGUUGUUAAAAGACUGAGAAUGAAAAUCAAAAGAUUGCAUAACAUCCAAGAACUCAUAAGGAUUUUUUUUUUUUUAACGAAUAUGGACUAUGGCUAAAUCCAUUAGAGCUUGAAAGAAACUGUCUUUGUGCUUCUAAGCAGUGGCUUGGAGGCAAGAAGGCCAGCAAGACAAGAGUGUGCCAAAGACAUCUCAGCUGGAGACGAGUGUACUGUACACAAGUACAGAAAACAAAACCAGUGGGGGAGGGGUUAGAAUUUGUCCCUGACCUUGGACAAUAAACCAAAAUUGCAUUGUG
This is a non-coding RNA of Ictidomys tridecemlineatus (thirteen-lined ground squirrel), 434 nucleotides long. The record is from RefSeq and is a predicted model, not a curated record. Lineage: Eukaryota; Metazoa; Chordata; Mammalia; Rodentia; Sciuridae.